Molecule: ribosomal RNA, 460 nt
Filed under: uncultured bacterium
Lineage: Bacteria
Description: partial 16S ribosomal RNA
Rfam family: Bacterial small subunit ribosomal RNA
Source: RNAcentral
CCUACGGGAGGCAGCAGUGAGGAAUAUUGGUCAAUGGACGAGAGUCUGAACCAGCCAAGUAGCGUGAAGGAUGACUGCCCUAUGGGUUGUAAACUUCUUUUAUAUGGGAAUAAAAUGUUCCACGUGUGGGAUUUUGUAUGUACCAUAUGAAUAAGGAUCGGCUAACUCCGUGCCAGCAGCCGCGGUAAUACGGAGGAUCCGAGCGUUAUCCGGAUUUAUUGGGUUUAAAGGGAGCGUAGGUGGAUUGUUAAGUCAGUUGUGAAAGUUUGCGGCUCAACCGUAAAAUUGCAGUUGAAACUGGCAGUCUUGAGUACAGUAGAGGUAGGCGGAAUUCGUGGUGUAGCGGUGAAAUGCUUAGAUAUCACGCAGAACUCCGAUUGCGAAGGCAGUUCACUGGACUGCAACUGACACUGAGGCACGAAAGUGUGGGUAUCAAACAGGAUUAGAUACCCUAGUAGUC